Molecule: ribosomal RNA, 497 nt
Filed under: uncultured bacterium
Lineage: Bacteria
Description: partial 16S ribosomal RNA
Rfam family: Bacterial small subunit ribosomal RNA
Source: RNAcentral
GACGAACGCUGGCGGCAUGCCUAAUACAUGCAAGUCGAGCGAACAGAUGAAGUGCUUGCACUUCUGACGUUAGCGGCGAACGGGUGAGUAACACGUAAGGAAUCUACCUAUAAGCGGGGGAUAACAUUCGGAAACGGGUGCUAAUACCGCAUAAUAUCUUCUUCCGCAUGGAAGAAGAUUGAAAGACGGCUCUGCUGUCACUUAUAGAUGACCUUGCGGUGCAUUAGUUAGUUGGUGGGGUAACGGCCUACCAAGACGAUGAUGCAUAGCCGACCUGAGAGGGUGAUCGGCCACAUUGGGACUGAGACACGGCCCAAACUCCUACGGGAGGCAGCAGCAGGGAAUCUUCCGCAAUGGGCGAAAGCCUGACGGAGCAAUGCCGCGUGAGUGAAGAAGGCCUUCGGGUCGUAAAACUCUGUUAUAAGAGAAGAACAAAUUGUAGAGUAACUGCUACAGUCUUGACGGUAUCUUAUCAGAAAGCCACGGCUAACUACGUG